GUGGUAACCUGAGUAGAUGCAAUCCCCCCAGGGAGGGCUACCCUUCAGUUCGGGGAAUCUGGAAUAAUUACUGCCUUGUUUAUAACCUGUCUGCUCUUGUUUCAUGCCUCAUCUGAUAUGUUGCACUGAUGUUGCUGUGUUCCCAGAUCACGGCAAUUAACUUGCCCGCUCACCUGGCUGUCAGUCUACAGGUGAAGAGGUGGGCUGAAGAGGUCACAGAACAGGGAGAAACUGCAAGUUAGACAUAAUAACGCAAGCUGGGUCCAAAUACAGUGUCAACAACUGAUCGAGGACCUAUUUUAGAAGAGUUUCCCCCCGAGCCGUUGCCUUCUGCCAUGGCGCCAUUUUGGGCCGUUACCGUGUCCAGCCCAACACCGCCACCCUUCUCCAUCUUUUCGUUGCUCAAGCUUCAGAUGACACCCUUCACCUGCGGUUGCGAGCCUCCACCAGCUCGCUCAGCUGAUCCUGUGCCGCUCUGAGCUCCUCCAGACUCUGCUGGUAGCUGAGGUCGG
Long non-coding RNA from Thunnus maccoyii (southern bluefin tuna), 512 nucleotides. RefSeq lists it as uncharacterized. The transcript is spliced from 5 exons. Lineage: Eukaryota; Metazoa; Chordata; Actinopteri; Scombriformes; Scombridae. The record is from RefSeq and is a predicted model, not a curated record.